RNAcentral lists this ribosomal RNA (250 nucleotides) under uncultured bacterium. Its description in RNAcentral is "partial 16S ribosomal RNA". It matches the Rfam family "Bacterial small subunit ribosomal RNA", at positions 524 to 773 of the family's 1533-position model. The record is from RNAcentral.
UACGUAGGGUGCAAGCGUUAAUCGGAAUUACUGGGCGUAAAGCGUGCGCAGGCGGUUAUGCAAGACAGAUGUGAAAUCCCCGGGCUUAACCUGGGAACUGCAUUUGUGACUGCAUAGCUGGAGUACGGCAGAGGGGGAUGGAAUUCCGCGUGUAGCAGUGAAAUGCGUAGAUAUGCGGAGGAACACCGAUGGCGAAGGCAGUCCCCUGGGCCUGUACUGACGCUCAUGCACGAAAGCGUGGGGAGCAAAC